RNAcentral lists this ribosomal RNA (485 nucleotides) under Lynceus sp. ZMUC CRU 4044. RNAcentral describes it as "partial 16S ribosomal RNA". It matches the Rfam family "Bacterial large subunit ribosomal RNA", at positions 1890 to 2600 of the family's 2925-position model. Lineage: Eukaryota; Metazoa; Arthropoda; Branchiopoda; Diplostraca; Lynceidae. The record is from RNAcentral.
UUCCUAGAGAUUAUAUUUUAGGUAACCUGCCAGUGAAUAUUUAACGGCCGCGGUAAUUUGACCGUGCUAAGGUAGCAUAAUCAUUUGUCUUUUAAUUGAAGACUGGAAUGAAAGGUGUAACAAGAAAUUUGCUGUCUUGAAAAAAUAAAUUGAAUCUUAUUUUUUAGUGAAAAAGCUAAAAUAAUUUUGUGGGACGAUAAGACCCUAUAGAUCUUUAUUAUUUUAAAAUUAUUAAUUUUUUAAUGUAAUUUUAUUGGGGCGAUAAUAAGAAAAGAGUAUCUCUUAGAAUUUUAAUAUACGAAUAGGUAAAUAGAGUAAUGAUCCUACACGAUAGAUUAUAAGAAUAAGUUACCUUAGGGAUAACAGCGUAAUAUUUUUUUAGAGUUCCUAUCGAAAAAAAUGUUUGCGACCUCGAUGUUGGAUUAAGAUGUUAUUGUGGUGCAGAAUUUACAAAUAUUAGUCUGUUCGACUAUUAAAAUCUUACA